AAAGUGUUAGUAAAAACAUUACAUAACUUUGUCAAAGUUAAAUUAUAGGCUAAACACCCAUACACUUUUA
RNAcentral lists this transfer RNA (70 nucleotides) under Procavia capensis (Cape rock hyrax). RNAcentral describes it as "transfer RNA-Asp". The record is from RNAcentral. Lineage: Eukaryota; Metazoa; Chordata; Mammalia; Hyracoidea; Procaviidae.